GACGAACGCUGGCGGCGUGCUUAACACAUGCAAGUGGUGCGACGAACCAGGCUUCGGCCUGGGGCAGAGCCGCCAACGGGUGAGUAACACGUGGGCAACCUGCCCUGUUGAUCGGGACAACCCGGGGAAACCCGGGCUAAUACCGAAUGUGGUGCCGGCUCAUGAGAGCCGUCACGAAAGGAGGCUUCGGCCUCCGCGACAGGAUGGGCCCGCGGCCCAUUAGCUUGUUGGUGGGGUAAUGGCCUACCAAGGCAACGAUGGGUAGCUAGUCUGAGAGGACGAUCAGCCACACUGGGACUGAGACACGGCCCAGACUCCUACGGGAGGCUGCAGUGGGGAAUCUUGCGCAAUGAGCGACAGCUUGACGCAGCAACGCCGCGUGGGGGAAGAAGGCUUUCGGGUCGUAAACCCCUUUCAGUUAGGACGAAGCUUUAUUGGUUAAUAACCAAUUGGAGUGACGGUACUUUCAGAAGAAGCCCCGGCUAACUACGUGCCAGCCGCCGCCGUAA
RNAcentral lists this ribosomal RNA (509 nucleotides) under uncultured bacterium. RNAcentral's name for it is "partial 16S ribosomal RNA". It matches the Rfam family "Bacterial small subunit ribosomal RNA", at positions 28 to 523 of the family's 1533-position model. The record is from RNAcentral.